Oncorhynchus tshawytscha (Chinook salmon) is the source of this 3633-nucleotide long non-coding RNA. Lineage: Eukaryota; Metazoa; Chordata; Actinopteri; Salmoniformes; Salmonidae. The record is from Ensembl.
UGUGUGUGUGUGUGUGUGUGUGAGUGAGUGACCAAGUGUGAUCGUGGUGCAUAUUCAAAUCAAAUCAAAUCUCUGUGUGCAGACUACAUGGUGCCUGAGUCAAUCUUACAAAAAGGGGGCUGUAUAUGUGUUUCUAUGUGUGUGUGUGCGUGUGUGUGCGUGUGCGUGUGUGUGUGUGUGUGUGUGUGUGUGUGUGUGUGUGUGUGUGUGUGUGUGUGUGUGUGUGUGUGUGUGUGUGUGUGUGUGUGUGUGUGAGUGAGUGACCAAGUGUGAUCGUGGUGCAUAUUCAAAUCAAAUCAAAUCUCUGUGUGCAGACUACAUGGUGCCUGCAUCUCAAUGUGCAGUCGUAAACAGUCAUUCAACAUUCAAACACGGGUGCUUGUGGAGAGAGACACGGUGGUUAAAUGGUGUCUAGUGUGCCGAGCCCUAAAAAUGUUAUCAACAUUGAAAUAUGGAUAUUUGUGGCCAAGACACUAAUGGAGUUUCCAUGAUAAAAACAUGAUGAGAAUAUGGAGACGUGGACGCUGUAAUGGAAAACAGGCUUGAUACAGAUACAAUAAGGACCCAUAACAACAACUCUGAUGUCACCCCUACGUCCGUCCGCCCGCCUGUCUGCCUAUCUGUCUGCCAUCAUUAAACAGAGAGAGGGGCUUUGUCCUCCUCUCAUGAUGGGAAGCUGUUGAUUUUAUGGACCUCGGUGAUUCUUAUCAACCAUCAGCACAAAACAGAACAACCAAAUGGGUUGUUUAAGCAAGCUUCUACUGUGUGUUAGUCAAUCUUACAAAAAGGGGGCUGUAUAUGUGUUUCUAUGUGUGUGCGUGUGCGUGUGCGUGUGUGUGUGUGUGUGUGUGUGUGUGUGUGUGUGUGUGUGUGUAUAAACAUAAUCACUAUAUACACUGUGAAAGAUAUUGGGCUCCCUGUGUAAACAGCCUCUGUGUCUUCCUGCUUGAGUGCCUUAAACAUAUGCAGCCAGCAGCUCCUCUCCUCUCCUCUCCUCAGGGACCAGCAGACGAGCCCACAGCGUGUGAGGAGCCCAGAUAACCCCUGCCUCCACAAGGCUCGCUUUCUGUAGCCCCCCCACACACACACACACACACACACACACACACACACACACACACACACACACACACACACACACACACACACACACACACACACACACACACACACACACACACACACACGAUAGCCACACCACGCCAAGGCAUCCAUACAACGCCUGUGGCUUAAAAUGCAUCCACCAAUGUGAGUCUAGUCCAUAGGUUUAACCGACUUAACGUACACACGAUACACCUCCAUGCCUUGAGUGUGAGUCUGUAGUCACCUAGCUCGCAUGUACUGUAGCCACUUUGCUAGCAUCCCUUAGCUAGCAGGUACUGUAGUCACUUAUCUAGCAGGUACUGUAGUCACUUAGCUAGCAGGUACUGUAGUCACUUAGCUAGCAGGUACUGUAGUCACUUAGCUAGCAGGUACUGUAGUCACUUAGCUAGCAGGUACUGUAGUCACUUAGCUAGCGUCACUUAGCUAGCAGGUACUGUAGUCACUUAGCUAGCAGGUACUAUAGUCACUUAGCUAGCAGGUACUGUAACCACUUAGCUAGCAGGUACUGUAGCCACUUAGCUAGCAGGUACUGUAGCCACUUAGCUAGCAGGUACUGUAGUCACUUAGCUAGCGUCACUUAGCUAGCAGGUACUGUAGUCACUUAGCUAGCUCUGUGCCCUGCUGGCCAGUUGGUUAUGUCCUCUUAGAAGAGUCAUAGAAUAAAAUAAUGGCCCAUUUUAUAUCCUGGGCGUGUGCCAGCUUAGCUUAACCAUCAGCAAUGCAUCAAUCUGCCAUUUUUUACUGUAUCCAUAUUGGUUUUAUUGGAGUAAUUCAGCCAUGUACUAUAAAAGAUAGGUACACAUGCUGCUAUUGUUAGGAUGGUGCCAGAGGGACAGAGAGGGAGAGAGACAGAGACGGGGAGGGAGAGAGUGGGAGAGAGACAGAGGGACAGAGCGGGAGAGAGAGAGAGAGACAGAGGGACAGAGGGGCAGAGGGAGAGAGAGAGAGAGACAGAGGGACAGAGGGAGAGAGAGAGAGACAGAGGGAGAGAGGGACAGACGGAGAGGGAGAGACAGAGAGAGAGAGAGAGAGAGAGAGACAGAGGGACAGAGGGACAGAGGGGGAGAGAGAGAGGGACAGAGGGAGCGAGAGAGAGAGACAGAGGGAGAGAGGGACAGACGGAGAGGGAGAGACAGAGGGAGAGAGAGAGAGACAGAGGGACAGAGCGGGGAGAGAGAGAGAGACCGAGGGAGAGAGGGAGAGGGAGGGGGAGGGAGAUAGAGGCAGAGAGGGAGCGAGAGAGAGACCGAGGGAGAGAGACAGAGAGAGGGGGGAGAGAGCGGGAGAGAGAGAGGGACAGAGGGAGAGGGAGAGAGAGACCGAGGGAGAGAGACAGAGAGGGGGAGGGAGAGAGAGGACCAACAGAACUCUCUGGCUGGCUCUAAACCCAGAUCUGGUUGGCCUGGACAGCUGUAAAAUGUAGCACACUACUUCUAUUAAUCUGACCUGCCAAUCACACCCAACCAACAGGGUCUCAGAGAAGUAACCAACCCACUCUACACACAGAGAGAGAGAGACAUUGUUAAAACACUGAAUAUAUAUAUAAUAUGACAUUUGUAAUGUCUUUAUUGUUUUGAAACUUCUGUAUGUGUGAUGUUUACUAUUAAUUUUUAUUGUUUAUUUCACUUCAUAUAUUAUCUACCUCACUUGCUUUGGCAAUGUUAACACAUGUUUCCCAUGCCAAUAAAGCCCUUCAAUUGAAUUGAAUUGAAUUGAGAGAGAGAGAGAGAGAGAGAGAGAGAGAGAGAGAGAGAGAGAGAGAAGUGGGCGAGAGAUGAGAGAGAGAACAAGUGGGCACAAGCGAGAGAGAGACAGACAGACAGAGAGGGAGAGAGAACAAAAUAAAAACCUAGCGGUCAAACAGGGAAAUGGUUCCAAUAGUUUUUCCAGAAGAAAAACAAACGCACACCUAUUUAGGUGAGGUGCUGGCUAGCGGAGUAGAAAACUUGAAAAUAAAAUAAAAGAGAGCCGCACACUCUAGGAGCUCAGAUGCACUCUACACUCUAGGAGCUCAGAUGCACUCUACACUCUAGGAGCUCAGAUGCACUCUACACUCUAGGAGCUCAGAUGCACUCAGAUGAAAAAUGUAAUUACCAACGUUGACAGCCAGGCUGUCUUCAUCAGGGUAUAUCCAAUAAGGGCUGUGUUUGGUGUAGGCUUACCCCGGAGUGACGUUUUGAGAACCAUGGAAAUCUCUCACAGACAAGGAGACUUUGGAGGAAUUUUGAAUGUCAGCCUGCUUGCCCUCUGCAAGGACACAACAACACAAUAAUAUACACAUUUAUAAGUACAUUUAUCUUAAAGUUUUGCAUGCACAUGCAGUAUGUAGAAAUACAGUAGAUAAUCAUGGAGUUUGUAGAAAUACAGUAGAUAAUCAUGGAGUUUGUAGAAAUACAGUAGAUAAUCAUGGAGUAUGUUUAAAUACAGUAGAUAAUCAUGGAGUUUGUUUAAAUACAUGUAGAUAAUCAUGGAGUUUGUAGAAAUACAGUAGAUAAUCAUGGAGUUUGUUUAAAUACAGUAGAUAAUCAU